This 943-nucleotide ribosomal RNA is filed under the name Ochrobactrum sp. RNAcentral describes it as "bacterial LSU rRNA". It matches the Rfam family "Bacterial large subunit ribosomal RNA", at positions 57 to 1011 of the family's 2925-position model. Lineage: Bacteria; Pseudomonadati; Pseudomonadota; Alphaproteobacteria; Hyphomicrobiales; Brucellaceae. The record is from RNAcentral.
AUGGGUGCGAGCCCAUACAGACCGCUAGGUCGUCGGUUCGAAUGAACCGCCCCUGCGGAGCGAAGCAGCGCAAGCUGCGACAGCGUGAGCAAGAACAGUUCAACUUUCUAGUUAUCGUAAUAAGGUAUCUACACCUGAAUACAUAGGGUGUUAGAAGCGAACCUGGGGAACUGAAACAUCUAAGUACCCAGAGGAAAGGACAUCAAACGAGACUCCGCUAGUAGUGGCGAGCGAACGCGGACCAGGCCAGUGGCUUAAUUGAGUAAAGUGGAACAACUUGGAAAAGUUGGCUAAAGUGGGUGAUAGCCCCGUACACGCAACACGAAAUUAAGUCCUUGAGUAGGGCGGGACACGUGAAAUCCUGUCUGAACAUGGGUCGACCACGAUCCAAGCCUAAGUACUCGUGCAUGACCGAUAGCGAACCAGUACCGUGAGGGAAAGGUGAAAAGCACCCCGACGAGGGGAGUGAAAUAGUACCUGAAACCGAAUGCCUACAAACAGUUGGAGCCCAAGGUUCGUCCUGGGUGACAGCGUACCUUUUGUAUAAUGGGUCAGCGACUUAGUCUGACGAGCAAGCUUAAGCCGGUAGGUGUAGGCGCAGCGAAAGCGAGUCUGAACAGGGCGUUCAGUUCGUCGGAUUAGACCCGAAACCAAGUGAUCUAGCCAUGAGCAGGUUGAAGGUACGGUAACACGUACUGGAGGACCGAACCCAUAUCUGUUGCAAUAGAUCGGGAUGACUUGUGGCUAGGGGUGAAAGGCCAAUCAAACUUGGAGAUAGCUGGUUCUCCGCGAAAUCUAUUUAGGUAGAGCGUCCAGCGAAUACCCCCGGGGGGUAGAGCACUGAAUGGGCUAUGGGGACUCACCGUCUUACUGAUCCUAAUCAAACUCCGAAUACCGGGGAGUACUACUGGGCAGACACACGGCGGGUGCUAACGUCCGUCGU